RNAcentral lists this ribosomal RNA (730 nucleotides) under uncultured bacterium. Its description in RNAcentral is "bacterial SSU rRNA". It matches the Rfam family "Bacterial small subunit ribosomal RNA", at positions 771 to 1501 of the family's 1533-position model. The record is from RNAcentral.
AACAGGAUUAGAUACCCUGGUAGUCCACGCCGUAAACGAUGUCGACUUGGAGGUUGUGCCCUUGAGGCGUGGCUUCCGGAGCUAACGCGUUAAGUCGACCGCCUGGGGAGUACGGCCGCAAGGUUAAAACUCAAAUGAAUUGACGGGGGCCCGCACAAGCGGUGGAGCAUGUGGUUUAAUUCGAUGCAACGCGAAGAACCUUACCUACUCUUGACAUCCAGAGAACUUAGCAGAGAUGCUUUGGUGCCUUCGGGAACUCUGAGACAGGUGCUGCAUGGCUGUCGUCAGCUCGUGUUGCGAAAUGUUGGGUUAAGUCCCGCAACGAGCGCAACCCUUAUCCUUUGUUGCCAGCGGUCCGGCCGGGAACUCAAAGGAGACUGCCAGUGAUAAACUGGAGGAAGGUGGGGAUGACGUCAAGUCAUCAUGGCCCUUACGAAUAGGGCUACACACGUGCUACAAUGGCGCAUACAAAGAGAAGCGACCUCGCGAGAGCAAGCGGACCUCAUAAAGUGCGUCGUAGUCCGGAUUGGAGUCUGCAACUCGACUCCAUGAAGUCGGAAUCGCUAGUAAUCGUGGAUCAGAAUGCCACGGUGAAUACGUUCCCGGGCCUUGUACACACCGCCCGUCACACCAUGGGAGUGGGUUGCAAAAGAAGUAGGUAGCUUAACCUUCGGGAGGGCGCUUACCACUUUGUGAUUCAUGACUGGGGUGAAGUCGUAACAAGGUAACC